This is a non-coding RNA of Acanthosepion pharaonis, 99 nucleotides long. The record is from the annotation of a GenBank genome assembly. Lineage: Eukaryota; Metazoa; Mollusca; Cephalopoda; Sepiida; Sepiidae.
GCUGAAGAACCAGUUUUCAUCCGAUCAAAAAAGUUAAGCAAUGUCAGGCCUGGUCCGUACCCUGAUGGGUGACCGCUUGGUAAUACCAGAUGUUGUAAG